CAGCCGCCGCGGUAAUACGGAGGAUCCAAGCGUUAUCCGGAUUUAUUGGGUUUAAAGGGUGCGUAGGUGGUUCUUUAAGUCAGGGGUGAAAGACGGCAGCUUAACUGUCGCAGUGCCUUUGAUACUGAAGAACUUGAACGAACUAGAGGUAGGCGGAAUGCGACAAGUAGCGGUGAGAUGCAUAGAUAUGUCACAGAACACCGAUUGCGAAGGCAGCUUACUAUGGUUUAAUUGACACUGAGGCACGAAAGCGUGGGGAUCAAACAGGAUUAGAUACCCCCGUAGUCCCUGUCUCUUAUAC
RNAcentral lists this ribosomal RNA (301 nucleotides) under uncultured bacterium. RNAcentral's name for it is "partial 16S ribosomal RNA". It matches the Rfam family "Bacterial small subunit ribosomal RNA", at positions 509 to 807 of the family's 1533-position model. The record is from RNAcentral.